Molecule: long non-coding RNA, 1223 nt
Organism: Equus caballus (horse)
Lineage: Eukaryota; Metazoa; Chordata; Mammalia; Perissodactyla; Equidae
Source: Ensembl
AAAUCUUGUACCCGUUAAGAAAUAACUCCUCAGCUCCUGACUGAGUAACUGUCAUUUUUUUGACUGACGACUGGCAAUCACUUUCUAACAGACUAAAUACCUUGGUGUAGGAGGCCACAAUGAAGAGGAAUAAACACCAGACCAGGAAUGAAGAGACUGGAUUCUGACACUAUGCUAUGCGUAUGUCCUUAGUGUGAAUGAACCUGAUAUGACUGAAGAUGUCUAUGGGCAAGAGGGCCAAGAUUGCAGAAAAUGGAGCAGAAGAUGGGCUGUAGAGCAGCAAGGAAGACACAUGAGACAGAGACACGGACUGAUAUACUAAGGCAUUGGGCUACAACCUGAGGAUACAAUGGUGAGAAGAAUGAAACUCAGAAUGGAGGGAAGGAUUAUAUAAAGGAAAGUCACAUAGUCUCUAUCCACCUACUGCAACCAGGACCUAUUCUAAAACUGCAUUUAUUACUUAUUGAAUGUCUACUAUGUGCCAGGCACUGUUCUAGGCAACAGUGAUUAAAAGAAACAAACUAAGAAAGAUACAUCUAUUAUUAUAUGUCGUAGAGAAAAAGACAAGAAACAAGGUAAAUUAGGAAAAUAUAUCCAUGCUCGAUAAUGAUGAUCACCAAACAAAAAAUAUAAAACAGAGAAAGUGAUGGGCACUGACAUUUUAGAUUGGUUAAGGAAGACCUCACUGAAAUGUGAUAUGCGAUAAAGACAGGAAGGAAUUGAGGGACAGGGUAACAUGGAUAUCUGAGAAAAGAGCAUUCCAGCCUGAGGGCACAGAGGAGAGGUGCUUGACCUGUUAGAGGCACAUUUGUUUUGGGAGCACAAGAACAGGAGAAGACGUCAAAGAUGUAACCGGCUAAGAUUGUGUGAGAGAUUAUGAAAAGCUUUGCAAGGUGAAGAGAUGACCUGGCUUUUACUCUGAGUUAGAUGAAUAGCAAUUACGGAGCUUUGAACAGAAGAGUGAUAUGAUACGACUCAUGUUUUAAUAGGAUCUCUCAGGCUGCUCUACUGAUGGGAGAUGGAAAUGGGGGAGGAAUGGAAGCAGAGAAACCAGUUAGAAGCCAAUUAUAAAACCAAAGCAAGAAUUGAGAAUGACUUGGAUGAGGAUGUUUCAGAGCUAGAAAAGCUAGAGGAGUCUUACGUCAUCUCCAACAGACCUCAGUUGCUGUCCAUCAAGCAAGAUGCACACUUUCGAUGGUCCACAUCUGACUAUUUUAUGUGGA